RNAcentral lists this ribosomal RNA (230 nucleotides) under uncultured microorganism. Its description in RNAcentral is "partial 16S ribosomal RNA". It matches the Rfam family "Bacterial small subunit ribosomal RNA", at positions 524 to 753 of the family's 1533-position model. The record is from RNAcentral.
UACGGGGGGUGCAAGCGUUAUUCGGAAUUAUUGGGCGUAAAGGGCGCGUAGGCGGCCAUUUAAGUCGGGUGUGAAAUCCCGGGGCUUAACCCCGGAACUGCAUCCGAUACUGGGUGGCUUGAGUAUGGGAGAGGGAAGUGGAAUUCCAGGUGUAGAGGUGAAAUUCGUAGAUAUCUGGAGGAACACCAGUGGCGAAGGCGACUUCCUGGACCAAUACUGACGCUGAGGCG